GGUAGCUUGGUUGGUUAGAGCAUGGUGCUGAUAAUGUCAAGGUUGCAGGUUCGAUCCCCGUAAGGGACA
Molecule: transfer RNA, 69 nt
Filed under: Podarcis lilfordi (Lilford's wall lizard)
Lineage: Eukaryota; Metazoa; Chordata; Lepidosauria; Squamata; Lacertidae
Description: tRNA.Ile
Source: RNAcentral